UACGUAGGGUGCAAGCGUUGUCCGGAAUUAUUGGGCGUAAAGAGCUCGUAGGCGGUUUGUCGCGUCUGCUGUGAAAACUCGGGGCUUAACUCCGGGCCUGCAGUGGGUACGGGCAGACUAGAGUGCGGUAGGGGAGACUGGGAUUCCUGGUGUAGCGGUGAAAUGCGCAGAUAUCAGGAGGAACACCAAUGGCGAAGGCGACACGCUGGGCCGUACCUGACACUGAACCGCGACAGCAUGGGGAGCAAACAGG
RNAcentral lists this ribosomal RNA (253 nucleotides) under uncultured bacterium. RNAcentral describes it as "partial 16S ribosomal RNA". It matches the Rfam family "Bacterial small subunit ribosomal RNA", at positions 524 to 776 of the family's 1533-position model. The record is from RNAcentral.